AGUGAACGCUGGCGGUAGGCCUAACACAUGCAAGUCGAACGGCAGCACAGUAAGAGCUUGCUCUUACGGGUGGCGAGUGGCGGACGGGUGAGGAAUACAUCGGAAUCUACUUUUUCGUGGGGGAUAACGUAGGGAAACUUACGCUAAUACCGCAUACGACCUACGGGUGAAAGCAGGGGAUCUUCGGACCUUGCGCGAUUGAAUGAGCCGAUGUCGGAUUAGCUAGUUGGCGGGGUAAAGGCCCACCAAGGCGACGAUCCGUAGCUGGUCUGAGAGGAUGAUCAGCCACACUGGAACUGAGACACGGUCCAGACUCCUACGGGAGGCAGCAGUGGGGAAUAUUGGACAAAGGGCGCAAGCCUGAUCCAGCCAUACCGCGUGGGUGAAGAAGGCCUUCGGGUUGUAAAGCCCUUUUGUUGGGAAAGAUAAGCAGCAGGUUAAUACCCCGCUGUUCUGACGGUACCCAAAGAAUAAGCACCGGCUAACUUCGUG
RNAcentral lists this ribosomal RNA (492 nucleotides) under uncultured bacterium. RNAcentral describes it as "partial 16S ribosomal RNA". It matches the Rfam family "Bacterial small subunit ribosomal RNA", at positions 29 to 507 of the family's 1533-position model. The record is from RNAcentral.